RNAcentral lists this ribosomal RNA (450 nucleotides) under uncultured bacterium. RNAcentral describes it as "bacterial SSU rRNA". It matches the Rfam family "Bacterial small subunit ribosomal RNA", at positions 354 to 796 of the family's 1533-position model. The record is from RNAcentral.
GUGGGGAAUAUUGGACAAUGGGCGAAAGCCUGAUCCAGCCAUGCCGCGUGUGUGAAGAAGGUCUUCGGAUUGUAAAGCACUUUAAGUUGGGAGGAAGGGCAGUAAGUUAAUACCUUGCUGUUUUGACGUUACCAACAGAAUAAGCACCGGCUAACUUCGUGCCAGCAGCCGCGGUAAUACGAAGGGUGCAAGCGUUAAUCGGAAUUACUGGGCGUAAAGCGCGCGUAGGUGGUUCAGCAAGUUGGAGGUGAAAUCACCGGGCUCAACCUGGGAACUGCCUCCAAAACUACUGAGCUAGAGUACGGUAGAGGGUAGUGGAAUUUCCUGUGUAGCGGUGAAAUGCGUAGAUAUAGGAAGGAACACCAGUGGCGAAGGCGACUACCUGGACUGAUACUGACACUGAGGUGCGAAAGCGUGGGGAGCAAACAGGAUUAGAAACCCGUGUAGUCC